GGCGAGGGGGCUAUGUUCUCCUUACAAGCGAUAGAUCGGGGGUUCAAAUCCCUCACCGCCCACCA
This 65-nucleotide transfer RNA is filed under the name Deinococcus metalli. RNAcentral's name for it is "tRNA-Leu". The record is from RNAcentral. Lineage: Bacteria; Thermotogati; Deinococcota; Deinococci; Deinococcales; Deinococcaceae.